UGAGGAAUAUUGGUCAAUGGGCGAGAGCCUGAACCAGCCAAGUAGCGUGCAGGACGACGGCCCUAUGGGUUGUAAACUGCUUUUAUGUGGGGAUAAAGUGCGUGACGUGUCAUGCAUUGCAGGUACCACAUGAAUAAGGACCGGCUAAUUCCGUGCCAGCAGCCGCGGUAAUACGGAAGGUCCGGGCGUUAUCCGGAUUUAUUGGGCGUAAAGCGAGCGCAGGCGGUUAGAAAAGUCUGAAGUGAAAGGCAGUGGCUCAACCAUUGUAGGCUUUGGAAACUGUUUAACUGGAGUGCAGAAGGGGAGAGUGGAAUUCCAUGUGUAGCGGUGAAAUGCGUAGAUAUAUGGAGGAACACCGGUGGCGAAAGCGGCUCUCUGGUCUGUAACUGACGCUGAGGCUCGAAAGCGUGGGGAGCGAACAGG
This 423-nucleotide ribosomal RNA is filed under the name Verrucomicrobiota bacterium. RNAcentral's name for it is "Verrucomicrobia bacterium partial 16S ribosomal RNA". It matches the Rfam family "Bacterial small subunit ribosomal RNA", at positions 355 to 776 of the family's 1533-position model. The record is from RNAcentral. Lineage: Bacteria; Pseudomonadati; Verrucomicrobiota.